AGAACGAACGCUGGCGGCAGGCUUAACACAUGCAAGUCGAACGCCCCGCAAGGGGAGUGGCAGACGGGUGAGGAACACGUGGGAACGUACCCUUUGGUUCGGAACAACCCUGGGAAACUAGGGCUAAUACCGGAUACGAGCGAGAGCUGAAAGGUUUACCGCCGAAGGAUCGGCCCGCGUCUGAUUAGCUAGUUGGUGAGGUAAUGGCUCACCAAGGCGACGAUCAGUAGCUGGUCUGAGAGGAUGAUCAGCCACAUUGGGACUGAGACACGGCCCAAACUCCUACGGGAGGCAGCAGUGGGGAAUAUUGGACAAUGGGCGCAAGCCUGAUCCAGCCAUGCCGCGUGAGUGAUGACGGCCCUAGGGUUGUAAAGCUCUUUUACCCGGGAAGAUAAUGACGGUACCGGGAGAAUAAGCCCCGGCUAACUUCGUGCCAGCAGCCGCGGUAAUACGAAGGGGGCUAGCGUUGUUCGGAUUUACUGGGCGUAAAGCGCACGUAGGCGGACGCUUAAGUCAGGGGUGAAAUCCCGAGGCUCAACCUCGGAACUGCCUUUGAUACUGGGUGUCUUGAGUCCG
RNAcentral lists this ribosomal RNA (576 nucleotides) under uncultured bacterium. RNAcentral's name for it is "bacterial SSU rRNA". It matches the Rfam family "Bacterial small subunit ribosomal RNA", at positions 26 to 650 of the family's 1533-position model. The record is from RNAcentral.